CCCUUUAGACAAGAGUGUGUUUGCUCCCGCUGUAAUGCCGUUAUCUCCCUCUCUCUCCCCCUUCUAAUCUGGACACCACAAGUAAGCGCUUCUGACAAGAGCUGUGCACAAAUUGAAUUUUUCUUCCCCUAUCCCUUUCGAUUUAUAAUUCCCUCUCCCGCCCUACAAGCAAACUCAAUUUCUGACCCUUUAGACAAAAGGCUCAGAUAAAGCAAUUAGUUGAAGAUUCUGUGUGAGCUCCUGGCUCGGCUGACCUGCAUGGGAGUGUGAAGCACUAGGAGCAGUACAAACAGGGGCGAUGACAGUUUCACCUCCUUGGAGAUGAACUCAAGAGUCACUGGAAACAAAAGAAGUACUGACCAAGCAACAUUGUACAGAGUUGGGGAAAACCAAAAGAUAAAUGCUGAAGAGAUGUCAGGCCCUCUCCCCUUUUCACGGAACAAAAGAAAAUGCACUAGUGGAAUGUGACUGAAUCUCAUCUUUAACUUGCAAACCCAGCCAUCGAGUACAAUCAAUCACAAACCUCAAGAGUUCCCUUAGAGAAGACUUAUACAUUGCUACUCGGAACAUCCGGAGACAGCGAGGACCUCUUCCUCAGCUAGGUCCAAUACUAUCCGGGGUCAGGUCGCUGGGGCAACAGCUCCAGCAGGGACCCCAAACUUCCCUUUCCUGGGCCACAUCUACCAGCUCUGACUGGGGGAUCCCAAGGCGUUCCCAGGUCAGUGUAGAGAUAUAAUCUCUCCACCUAGGGUCUUCCCAGCUGGCCGUGCCUGGAACACCCCCCUAGGGAGGCGCCCAGGGGGCAUCCUCACCAGAUCCCCAAACCACCUCAACUGGCUCCUUUCGACGCAAAGGAGCAGCGGCUCUACUCCAAGCUCCUCAACCUAUCUCUAAGGGAGACGCCAGCCACUCUCCAGAGGAAACCCAUUUCGGCCGCUUGUACCCGUGACCCAAUCUUCAUGAACAUAGGUGAGCGUAGGAACGAAGAUUGACCGGUAGAUUGAGAGCUUUGCCAGUUUUGGGGAAAACGCUUGCCCUGGAUCACCAGCUGGAUUCCUGGUGGACGCAGUCUGCUCUCCCAGAGCCCCCGGAAGGCGUUCGGGUCACCGUUCUCCGCGCCCUCCGGUCACCACUUUGCCUCCGGAGGUGGAGGCCAUCUCUAGGUCUCCAAUUGCCGGAUCAUACGGGGAGCAGGUGAUGCACCUCACGGCCCAUCUCCAGGCCACGUACUCCCUCCACGCUGGGCCGGAGCGCCCUCCCGAUCCGGCUCCACGACUCGUGCCCCCAACGCCUCCAGUCCCCACUCCAUAACUAAGGCCCCCUCUGUCACGAAUUCUCCAUCUUAUUACUUUUUUUCCUGCCUGCGUUCUAGUCAAUUAACUCUACUCAGUCAUUCCAGAUCCUGUCCUCAAUAAGAAAUCACCUCAUUCUCUUCACCUGGUCCUCAUGCCCUUCCCGACUGCAACCCAUUCCCUCGUUAGUCCCUCACUACAUAGGUCCCCCCCACUUGUCCUCUGCCAGAUUGUCUUGUGUGCAUGCAAAGUUUUCCAGCGUUUUCCGAUUACAGAUAUCCCAUCCUGACCUAGCCUGCCUUCUCUUGACCACGUGUCAGGGGAUGCGUGGGGAAGGCAGGACUCAAAAGCAGACGUCAAAAGCAAAAGGACUUUAAUCGUCAAAAAGGCAAAAGCAAAAGACCAAUGGGCAAAAACACACAAAAACUGGGGGCAAAAAGGCACGCAGGAACAGGGAACAUCCACGACGAUAGACAGGGACUUCGUGACAAGAGACAAUGACGCCACAAGUGACAAACCCACUCUGGAGGUGCACGUGAUUGGACACAGGUGGAAACAAUCCGACAAUCACAGGGGAUGACAGGACCAGGCAGGAAGUGAAGUUACCCGGGGACACGAGUGGCAGAAAACUACAAAAUAAGACAGGAAGUGCACCACACCGUGACACCACAAACUCUUCGCCUGCCCUCUUAUUGGAUUUGUUUGCCUGUCGGAUCGCCGUUCUGUUUCUGAACCCUGCCUGUCCCAGUUUACGGAUUUCCUGGCUGCCCCUCUGGAUUUGUUUGCCCAUUGGACUGCUAUCCCAGUUUUGACCCUGCCUGUAUAAGUAAAGAACUUUAGAUUGAAUUCUGCCUCAGAGUUGUGCUUUUGGGUUACAAUAUCUGUAACCCUUAAACCCUCCCUUCUUAGGAAGAAUCAAUGCUGCAUUUCACAACCAGCUGUGAACUCUGUUGGAAUAUGACAACUAAAGCACUUGGCAUAAUGUAAUAAAAGUUAUUGGGCAUUAUCAAAGGUCCUUCCAAGAAAGGUGAUAAAAGUAAACAUCAAGUUGUGGCUGUUUUUUUGUGCUGCAAAUGCUUCUUAAGGUUUGCUGAGAUGUAGA
Long non-coding RNA from Gasterosteus aculeatus aculeatus (three-spined stickleback), 2394 nucleotides. NCBI's taxonomy places the organism in Eukaryota, Metazoa, Chordata, Actinopteri, Perciformes, Gasterosteidae. The record is from Ensembl.